AGUGAUACUUUAUUUCCUGUCGUUCUUUGGUGUCUUUGACAUUUUUAAACAGUCUAUCCACGAAAUAGUCUAGACGACGAGGGCGAGCGCGGAGGGUCUGCUGAAAUAAUAUUUGAGGAAUUCGAUUUCGACCAAGCUAAAGGAAAAGAAGGAAGCGGUCACCGAACAAAUGGCUACAAAUAUGCGUACAAGUCACUUUACCCGUGUCUUUAGUUCAGCAGCUGCUUCCCCGGCCCAUCAUUUCCCGUUUACACUAGACCAUUUUCCGUAUACCUGACGUGGGUCACAAAGAAGUGGAUGGAAGGUAUAAAAAUGGCGAAAAAAAAAUUUGCAUAAAUCAUUAACCGAAGAAAGACCCCAAAAUCGAUAUCGAUUUACCCCCUUUUUUUACCCCGUAAAAUUCAAUCCGUCGGUACUAAGGAUUCCUAAUGUCUCUCACAGUCGAGAGAUUUUGGGCUUUUCGAGGCACGCGCCGUAGUCGCACCUGGGAAUUCUUAUGCGCGGUAGCCGCAUUUUACGGCGGAGUAAAUUAUAAUGAAAAAAAGAAGAAAAUACGAAAAAAACAAAAAAAAUCAAACGGUGACCAUAAGUGGUUUCAAUUUACCUGAAACGCGCAAUGCCAACGGGUGCCACUUUGUUAUCCGAGAUGCAUUCCAAAAGGACAGCUGCAUCAAGCAUGUGCCAGUUUCCAUAUCAUCGUACGGCAACCCACUUGACACCAUAUAGAACAACAGUACCGAGAGAAGCCAUUCGACCGUGAUAAAUGCCGUCCUAAUUACCAAUAAUGUCUACACACGCUACAGCGGGUUCCAUAGAAGUUUCGAGAAUUCUAUGAGUACCCAUGAUCACCAUGGUCCUUUCAUGGUAUAUCCAUGGUAAGCCGUCUCAAUAAGGGACAUAUAAUUCAGCAAACAAUACCAGGAAGUUAAUAUACAAGAAUCAUGGUACUGGUGGUGGACGAAGAAAGGAAUGGGAAAAAAGAAAGUUCACUGAGUGCCAAGGAGAAAAUGGACAAAAAAUGAUGAGCUUGAAGAAAAUGGGAUCCCGUGUCCAGGAGCAUCGCGAGCCGCGUUUUCCAGAUGUCGUUGAAAGGAGUGUCUGCUCACUGUCAUCGUAUUCUCAAACCAGUACUAUGUAGGACUACACUACCCUGCCAUUACGUGGAGUGAGUCUCGUUUACCAGGUUCCCAGUUAAAAAGUCGCAAACAAGGAGCAGAAGGAUAUAAGGGUUCUCCUAGGCUAAGAACUUAGACUAUUGAAAGUUUUUGGAACUCCUUGUAGAUACGAUUUCGAAAUUGCGGGUUUUGCAUGUCUAUUGUACGGCACGGCGGUAAGGGGUUUGUAAAAAAUUGUUAUCAGGAGUUUGAAUAGAAUUUUGAAAAUAUUUGAGGCCAUGAAACUUGGAAUAUUAUCAAGCUCGGGUUUGUUGGGUUGUAUAUUACAAUUAUUGGCUUAAUUACUGCUGUGUUAAAGUACUAAUUUAAGGGGCACUGGGAUAACGAUUCGUAGAGUAUCUGAGGCACGGUAUAUAAUCAAUAGUAAUUGUAUAUAACGAACCGUAACGAUGACAGCCAUGACACUAAAUCAUAUUUAAUGUAUAUCCCGAACGUAUCGGAUCUUUCGGAAUUAAAAGGAUUUCCAAAUGAGUACCUGCCUUUUUUUUAUUGUCUUUCUCUUCCUCGCAGGGCAGAAGGAACAACAAAAAAUUGGUAUACUAUAAUCCUAGGGAGGAAGCGUGACGAUUUAAGUGUGCCGCUCCUGUCUUCCUUGACUUAACGAGUCCUUCAGGAUCACGGAGGAAGCGCCAACACGAGCUACAAACGAGAAGCAUGCCGUGUGGAUUAUGAAUUCCUUACGCAGUGCCUUCGACCCUGAGCCAACCCUCGGUUAAGCGUUGUUAGGUUAGGUUAGUAGUUUUCAUGUAUUUUUUUUUUGCAACCAUUUUCGACCGCUGAUUUAUGACGGGAGGAUGUGAGGUGCCUGGAGCCACCCUUGUGUUCCUAUUCCGACAUCCGGUUUUGUUUCUUCAUCAGGCUUCUUCUUCUUCGGGCACGGUUGUCUUCUACGCAGUCUUUUGGCCUCGACAGCGUCAGUGUCUGGUUAGUCAGGAUGGUUCGAAUUGCAGGAUUGGCGGAUGAGACGCAUUUUGGAUAUUUAUGCGUUUCCUGUGGGAUUUGAAAAAAUUAAUUUUUGAAAUCAAUUUUUCAGUGUAGCUGUACAGAUUUCGUUUUUGAACAAGCGUAAAAGCUGGUCGUAUUUUUCAGUUUUUAAUUCGUGGAAAAGGAUUUCUGGGUCAUGACUGUCGGUAUACAAUGGUUGUAAAUUUUCAAAGUGAAAGUGUCCAGCCAAUUAGAUACAAGGAUGAAGAGAAAGGAACAUAGAAAAAUAUUCGAUGUCAGAUAAGCAGAGUUUAUAAAUUUUCUUGGACACAGAAUUAAGAUUCUGAUCGCAGGGAAUAUAUAUAAAAUCUAAAAAGAAAUACAGAAUAGUCCAAAUUGAGUUGUUUCAUAAAAGUGCAUGUGUUCCACAUCGUGCGUUACGUCGACGUACUAAAUAAAAAAAAAAUUGUCGAUAACAUUGAAAAGCAUCGAUGGCAAAGUUUCCGGGUGGUCCAGCGACGUCGCCAUUGUCAAAAACGAGGGAAGUAAAAAGUGAUUCAAGUAUUGUUAAGUGUACCAGCCUUUUGUGAUUUUAGAGUAAAUUUUUCAAAAUUACUUUUCGCAGCAGCUGCCCGCAACCCUGAAGGAUGCACAACCAGCCGCAAAACGGAGUCAUAAAUAAUCCAGCGUCAAACAAUAGCCAAGAAAUCUCGUUCGUAUCUCCAGUGUGGCAUCAUCCAGCGCACCCCAAAUAUUUACACUAGUCCGGUGGCAAACGGCAAAGUAAUAGAUUCAAGAUGACUUUGCGCUUAAAGUCUGCAACAAUGUCGGACCAUUUGCCUUCACUGACACGGCUCCCGCCUCCUGCUGUUUGUGCCUUCGACCGCUGGACAAUUCGUAACUUUCAUAAUGCGCGCCACCCUAUAUUCUUUUCUGGCCAACAAUCGAACGAUCUGGAUCCAUUUAUCAGAUAAAACGCUAAUUGUAAUGGGAUCUUCAUACAGGGCAGAUGGUCACUAUCAAUGCACCACCCCUCGCCCAAUGAACACUCACUCACUUGUCUAUGGGUCAUAAACAGUUAAUAACCAAAGAAAUAAAUUCGUACAAUUAAAUUGUAGGGAUAUAAAAAUAUAGUAUCGUAGACAGACAGAUACUCGAAAUCUUAUCUGUGCCAGCCAUUACUAAAAUCAUGUCAAAAUUCUCUACAGGGUAUUUCACAUAUGACCUGGACAUCCAUGAAAUCGGAAACGAAGAGUGUGAAAAUCAGUGACGUUUGAAAAAUUCCAGUCUUCGCUGCUGUUAACGGCUGCCCUUUCACUGGACACACCGCAGGGGUGGUUUUACGCGCAGGGGCGUAUUGUGCCUCUACAGGCACCCUGUACCAGGGUGUGAGAGGGUGUGACAAUUUCCGGUCAGUCAAGAGCCACGCGUCCCACUGGAUGUGAGAACGGCUGCGGAACCUUUCCUGAAGCAUACAACAAUAUAUGACCUAUGGUAGUCCUGUCUAAACGCCCCUGCUGUAACCACCAACUGGCACGGUUGGUCAUCCUGCUUUGGAACAACAGGGCUGCCGGACAUUAUCGAUGACAUCCUGAAACUUCCCAGCCGACUGGCGACUGUCAUCUCGUUAUUUAUUGUUCAGUUAUAGCUUUUGUUUUAACUCGGCUAUUCGACAGCUUCGUUACUUCUUUACGUCUGCUUUGUUCAUAAUGUUUCAACGUUUUGCAUAACUUGAUUGUCUUCGAUUAAUUAACAUUGGAUGCUGUAUGGAUUUUGUACAAACAAUUGUAUAGAAAUUGUCAACUCCGUUUUUCUUUUCUUCAAUUUAUAAGUCUUGGUUAACUCCUUUAUUGGAUACAUUUGUAAUUCAUAUAUGUUAAUGGGUGGAUGACUUUUCAAAAUUUUGUAUAUUAUUUUUAAUCAGUUAUUAAUAUUAUUCGUUGCUGUUUUUUAAUGAGAUGUAAUUUAGC
Molecule: long non-coding RNA, 4069 nt
Organism: Cephus cinctus (wheat stem sawfly)
Lineage: Eukaryota; Metazoa; Arthropoda; Insecta; Hymenoptera; Cephidae
Exons: 4
Source: RefSeq, a predicted model, not a curated record